This 774-nucleotide long non-coding RNA is filed under the name Olea europaea subsp. europaea. The record is from RNAcentral. Lineage: Eukaryota; Viridiplantae; Streptophyta; Magnoliopsida; Lamiales; Oleaceae.
AAGAGCUGCAUGUAUACUGGUGUCUACAAAGAGUCUUAAUCCAUGUUUUAAGAAUCGGACCUCACACUGCGGUUACCAACAAGAUUGAGUAUAUCUCACCUUUAUCAUUUGCACCAUUGGGAUAUACCUCAGGGGACUUAUUGGGGUGUCCAUAUCCCUCAUUUGGAUGGUGAAUCUACUUCAGAAAAAUAUGAUUUGUCUGAAGUGUAUCCCCUUUCAUGUGAUCUAGAUUUGAUUGUAGUGUGAUGUGAUGCUAAGCAAUGGUGCUUAGUAGAUGCUUUUAACAUGGAUGACGAUGAAGCAAUUACGGGCACAAAUGCUACGAAUGCCUAUAGAUUAUUUAGAAAAAAAGUACAUAAUUAAACACGAGGAUCGACAUGUUAUUAUUAUACAUGUUCCGUUGUAUGCUGAAGACAAAAAAUGUCAGUGAGAUAUAUUUGUAUGCUCAAAAUGUGUAUUAGGUUGAGGAAUUCUAAAUGAAGGGGUAGACUUGAACAAAGAAAAGUACUGCAGCAUUUCACUUCGUAUCAUCCACUUUUCACUCCUCAGUCUUCUCGACAGAAUUAUAGAAUGAUCCAUGUCCAGUUGUAAAUGUUUUUACUCUGCAUAUUUUCCCUAUGAGAUUUCUUGAAUAAGGUCUGGCUUUAUGAAUGUGUAAUGGCACAAGGGUGGAGGCCACAUCACUUUCUUGAUUGGCUUAUUCUGUGUUUUGUGCAGUAAGGUUUGUACGUGACUGAUAUAAUAGACACUAUUUACCCUUGUAUUAAAUUUGCC